UUAAAAAGCUCGUAGUUGGAUCUAGGGACGCGCAUUUCAAGCGCCCGUGUCGUCGGGUCAAACCGGCGACUGCGUUGGCGUUGCGGGCUCGGUCCGUCGGUGCUCACAAAAGCAUCGGCGUGUCAACCGGCCCGCCCGUCCCCUCCUUCUGGAUUCCCGUUCCUGCUAUUGAGUUAGUGGGGACGUCACAGGGGGCCCAUCGUCGUGUCCAUGCAAAUGGCGCACGGCGGUGGGUCCCUGGGGCCCAGAUCGUUUACCGUGAAAAAAUUAGAGUGUUCAAAGCAGGCAGAUCCAAUUUUCUGCCACCGAAUACAUUAGCAUGGGAUAAUGGAAUAGGACCCUGUCCUCCUAUUUUCAGUUGGUUUUGGCAGCGCGAGGACUAGGGUAAUGAUUAAUAGGGAUAGUUGGGGGCAUUAAUAUUUAAUUGUCAGAGGUGAAAUUCUUGGAUUUAUGAAAGAUUAACUUCUGCGAAAGCAUCUGCCAAGGAUGUUUUCAUUAAUCAAGAACGAAAGUUAGGGGAUCGAAGACGAUCAGAUACCGUCGUAGUCUUAACCAUAAACGAUGCCGACCAGCGAUUAGGAGACGUUGAAUACAAAACACCACCAUCGGCGCGGUCGUCCUUGGCGUGUCUCGGCUUCACGGCCGGGGCGCGCGAGGGCGGUUUAGCCCGGUGGCACCGGUGAAUGACUCCCCUAGCAGCUUGUGAGAAAUCAUAAGUCUUUGGGUUCCGGGGGGAGUAUGGUCGCAAGGCUGAAAC
Molecule: ribosomal RNA, 757 nt
Filed under: Acanthamoeba sp. LC-2012
Lineage: Eukaryota; Discosea; Longamoebia; Acanthamoebidae
Description: SSU rRNA
Rfam family: Eukaryotic small subunit ribosomal RNA
Source: RNAcentral